CCAGGCGCUCGCGCAUGCGCACAUCGGCAGGCUGGAGCAGGUGUGGUGGAAGACUUGAAACUCUCCUGCGGUUUUGAUGGGAAGUCUCCCGGUGCCCCUCUGUCGUCGGCCUGAACCGAGAAGCCGGCAGCAGCUCCUGCCCUUUCGGCCAGACGUGCCUACAGAGCUGCUAUUGUUUCCCUCAGAGUCCUAACCUGGCUGCAGGAGCACCGCUGCUGACGUUGGGUUUGAUUUCCAGAACAUAUUCGGCUGCAACUCACUCCUCUUCAGCUUUUCAGCAGAUCCAGGGUUGUAGGAAAGUCAAAGGCCAUUUCCGCCAAACUCAGGCCUAACUGAAUCUCAAAGGAGAAAAACUGAAGGGCAACAACCAGGCAUUGAAUUUGAUUCAGAAAGAUCUCUUUGGUGGUUUUUACACCUUGAUGUACAAACACCUUUAAAAGAAGAUCGAUAUUCUUCAUGUAUCUGCUGGAGGAAGGGUCUCAGACAGCCUCCCCAGGUCACCUUGAGCCCUGAGAUGAUAAACGGCAGCAUCCCGUCUCAUCCUGGCCUGUGUUCCUUCUCCACACCCGCUCCUGCUCCAUCCUACCUUCUGUACUUGCUACCCUUUGCAACCACCUCCUCUUCCCUGAACUCGGGCCAAAGCUGACUUGGCUGAGACAACCACAGCAUUGCUGCCUAUUUACCUUGGAAUAAUACAAAAUAAAAGCUGUGCUGACACUCUUGAGUUUAUCGAG
This 734-nucleotide long non-coding RNA is filed under the name Bos indicus x Bos taurus (hybrid cattle). RNAcentral describes it as "lncRNA (ENSBIXG00005003983.1)". Lineage: Eukaryota; Metazoa; Chordata; Mammalia; Artiodactyla; Bovidae. The record is from RNAcentral.